AGCAUGCUAAAGUGCAACCAACCAAUACAUCAUUUGGACAAGCAACACAAGUUGUCCCACAGGCAGCUAAUGAUACUAGUUUGGGAAAUGAAUUACUCAGUGGAAGAAAAGAACUUCCAGCGGACCUUUUUACAUCAAGCUAUUCAUCAUUUGCUGCUGCAGUUCCAGGCUGGCAAUCCACUUCCCCUUAUGGAAUGGGAUAUGGCACUCAGUACCAUGUUACUGCAAUGUCCAUGGGAGCUCACCAAGAUUCGGUUAAAUCAAGGAACCCAUUUGAUAUUGGUGAUGAUGGUCC
Coffea arabica (coffee) is the source of this 295-nucleotide non-coding RNA. NCBI's taxonomy places the organism in Eukaryota, Viridiplantae, Streptophyta, Magnoliopsida, Gentianales, Rubiaceae. The record is from RefSeq and is a predicted model, not a curated record.